This 253-nucleotide ribosomal RNA is filed under the name uncultured bacterium. RNAcentral's name for it is "partial 16S ribosomal RNA". It matches the Rfam family "Bacterial small subunit ribosomal RNA", at positions 524 to 776 of the family's 1533-position model. The record is from RNAcentral.
UACGUAGGGAGCAAGCGUUGUCCGGAAUCAUUGGGCGUAAAGCGCGCGUAGGUGGCCCGGUAAGUCCGCUCUGAAAGUCACAGGCUCAACCUGUGAAAGCGGGUGGAUACUGCCGGGCUAGAGUCCGGAAGAGGCGAGUGGAAUUCCUGGUGUAGCGGUGGAAUGCGCAGAUAUCAGGAGGAACACCAACGGCGAAGGCAGCUCGCUGGGACGGUACUGACACUGAGACGCGAAAGCGUGGGGAGCGAACAGG